Long non-coding RNA from Perognathus longimembris pacificus (Pacific pocket mouse), 825 nucleotides. RefSeq lists it as uncharacterized. The record is from RefSeq and is a predicted model, not a curated record. Lineage: Eukaryota; Metazoa; Chordata; Mammalia; Rodentia; Heteromyidae. The transcript is spliced from 2 exons.
GUGCUCAGGCCCUGAGUUCAAGCCCCAGGACUGGCAAAAAAAAUUUCAAUCCAAUUCAAAUCAAUUCUGCAGAUACUGUUAUUAUUUUUCACUGAGAAACAUCUCAUGGUAUUUAGUACAAAGAACACUUUAACCAUGCAAUUCUGAGAACCACAGGAGCCUAAUUUUUCAUUUAAAACUGUCAGUUUCCCAUGUUGGAAUACUCUGAGACACAUAAAGAGGAAGAGUAUGUGUAAAAGAAAAGACUUAGCAAUCUACUGCUAAAGUUGGAACUCAUGAUACAUGUAAUAGCAAAAUCUUAAAGAACUCAAAUUUCCUAUUAAUUGAAACUGAUUGUAAGAAACAGCUGACACGUGCUUUGAUUUGUAUACUUUUAAAAAUUAGUAAGGAAAAUAUACUUACCAUAUGUUCUGGUCUUUAUAUUAAUGGUCCAGAAUGUUGUUUGCCUAGCAGUAGCUUCUCAAAGUGUUGCUCAAAAUGUGGUACUCAGGUGAGCUGUAUUAGAAUGGCUUGGGGAACUUAGUCAAGAUCCCUUUACUAUCAGAAUGUCUGCAGAGGUCCAGGCUACAGACAGGCAUGGUGAAGAGUGCCCGGUGAGGUUAUUUGCAGAAACACUGAUUUACAGCAUAAACUUAGGAACAAUUUAAUUGCCUUGCAUUUAUGAUACAAAUAUUAAGUGCCUUUGAGUGAAGAAAAGAAUCCUAGAAAUCAUUUUUCACUCAAUUUCUGUUAGCCUUACAGAUAGGAUACUGGAUGGAUCAUUUCCUAUUCCAGACUAGUCUCUGAUCCCCUAUCAUGUGCAUUACAGUUCAAAACUUUGUAUUU